RNAcentral lists this long non-coding RNA (283 nucleotides) under Junco hyemalis (dark-eyed junco). Its description in RNAcentral is "lncRNA (ENSJHYG00000011801.1)". The record is from RNAcentral. Lineage: Eukaryota; Metazoa; Chordata; Aves; Passeriformes; Passerellidae.
UUACCAGAUUUGAUCAACGCCUCUCUGAGCACAGCAGCCAGAUCUGCGACAGAGCAAGUCAAAAGGGAGUUAAAAUUACACAGGAUGCUUGUGAAGAAAAUGUGGUCAGCUGUGAACCUCAGACUUGAUCUCUUAAGUGAACUGAGAUGCACGAGGUGAAGCACUUCUGUCUUCCUGGGGACCUACGGCUGCUACAUUUUUCUUAAGUAGAGAAGGAUAAUUGCAUUUGUAUCUACUCUGCACGACUGCUCUGCUGCCAGGUUCUCAGUUGCUCUUCUUGCCU